AUGAACGCUGGCGGCGUGCCUAAUACAUGCAAGUCGAGCGAACGGACGAGAAGCUUGCUUCUCUGAUGUUAGCGGCGGACGGGUGAGUAACACGUGGAUAACCUACCUAUAAGACUGGGAUAACUUCGGGAAACCGGAGCUAAUACCGGAUAAUAUUUUGAACCGCAUGGUUCAAAAGUGAAAGACGGUCUUGCUGUCACUUAUAGAUGGAUCCGCGCUGCAUUAGCUAGUUGGUAAGGUAACGGCUUACCAAGGCAACGAUGCAUAGCCGACCUGAGAGGGUGAUCGGCCACACUGGAACUGAGGCACGGUCCAGACUCCUACGGGAGGCAGCAGUAGGGAAUCUUCCGCAAUGGGCGAAAGCCUGACGGAGCAACGCCGCGUGAGUGAUGAAGGUCUUCGGAUCGUAAAACUCUGUUAUUAGGGAAGAACAUAUGUGUAAGUAACUGUGCACAUCUUGACGGUACCUAAUCAGAAAGCCACGGCUAACUACGUG
This 496-nucleotide ribosomal RNA is filed under the name uncultured bacterium. RNAcentral describes it as "partial 16S ribosomal RNA". It matches the Rfam family "Bacterial small subunit ribosomal RNA", at positions 29 to 507 of the family's 1533-position model. The record is from RNAcentral.